Molecule: small RNA, 90 nt
Filed under: Escherichia coli
Lineage: Bacteria; Pseudomonadati; Pseudomonadota; Gammaproteobacteria; Enterobacterales; Enterobacteriaceae
Description: partial RtT sRNA
Rfam family: RtT RNA
About the family: This family represents a bacterial cis-regulatory element known as RtT RNA. The exact function of RtT is unknown although it is thought that it may be involved in changing the cellular response in relation to amino acid starvation.
Source: RNAcentral
GUUCGACUCGAGCGAAGCGAGAGAACGUUGCGCCAGCAACGGCCCGCAGGGCGAGCCACGAAGUGGCGAGUAAUCCUCUGGCACCGACCA